Microcebus murinus (gray mouse lemur) is the source of this 500-nucleotide non-coding RNA. NCBI's taxonomy places the organism in Eukaryota, Metazoa, Chordata, Mammalia, Primates, Cheirogaleidae. The record is from RefSeq and is a predicted model, not a curated record.
CUGUACUGUAAGGUGAACAACUCCAAAUAAGGGACCCCAGAGGCCGUGCCCUGGCACCCCCUGCAAAGUCCACAACUAGUUCUGCACGAAGCCCAGUCUAGCCUGCUGGAGGAUGAAAGACCAUAUGGAGAAGGACCAGGGUGCCGUGGCCACCAGCCAGCACACACUGCCGGAUGUGAGAAGCCAUCUUGGACCUCCCAGUCCUUUUGAACUCAGAUGGUUGCAGCCACUGGAGUAGUCCCAGGACAACUCUUCCCUUAGGAAAUUCCUUGCAUGCACUUAUGGGAAUAAAGAUUGUGUGGUUCUUAAGCCAGCAAAGAUUGUAAAGGAUCCUCCAGAUGAAGUUCCGUAUUGUCACUAGAUGAAACACUGGCAGGCAUUCUCUUUAGCAUGAGAACAGGCGGAUUGGGGAUGGCUCAAGUGAAAGAGACUCAAAAAAUGGAGUUCCAUGAAGACCACUGAUCUAGGACCAGAUGAACACAGAAAGCUCUCCGGAAAGC